CAUAUACGGCUUUUGGAUUUAUAGAACACACAUUUAGAGGAACUGUCUCUGAAUGGUGGAGAAAGUUACCAGAAACCAUCAAAGGAGGUGUAAAAUAUGGAGCAAAUAGAACUGAAGUACUAGAUAAUAGAAAUUCCUUAAAUGAACAAAAUAUACAAGAAGUAUUAAAAAGAUUUGAGAAAAUCUUAAGGAUAGAAUUUCUAGGAAAUAGACAUACCUCUAAUGAAGAAGAAAGAACACAAGAAGAAUAUAACCAAGGAAUGAUUGCAAUGGAAAAUCUAAAGAUAUGUGAUAUGUGUGAG
Molecule: long non-coding RNA, 302 nt
Filed under: Olea europaea subsp. europaea
Lineage: Eukaryota; Viridiplantae; Streptophyta; Magnoliopsida; Lamiales; Oleaceae
Source: RNAcentral